CAGUAACUUUAGGGGCAUGGAGCGGUCUCUGGUGAAGUUCUCUUGGGUUGUUUUCAGCCCAAUAGCGAUAAUUUUGCUUAUUCACGUUUCCAGAAAGGUGGAAGUGGGCCUCGUCACUGCUGAAAAAAGUUGACGGUUCGGGGAUGCGGUUCAACAUUUCCUGGCAGCAAUUCCUGCGAUUUUCAAAGUCUUCUUGUGGAACCAGUUUCUUCCAAUGCUUCAAUCCAACGCCUGAUUGCCUUGCCAUCAGGGAUGGGACCAUGACGUGGAAUGUUGAAGUGCAGGCGGAAGGAGCGCUGAGUGGCGACGACAGAACGGCCAUUUUCGAGAAACGUGCGCACUGCAAAGCCGCGAUGUUCUCCCGACCAAGGCAUGGCUGCUUCUGAAAACGGCGGUGUUUGUUGGUCGCAACGAGACCACACACAUCUUACCAUCAUCACUACAGCCGUUGCUCGCGCCUUUCAAAACUCGGGCAUUUGAUU
This is a long non-coding RNA of Eriocheir sinensis (Chinese mitten crab), 482 nucleotides long. RefSeq lists it as uncharacterized. The record is from RefSeq and is a predicted model, not a curated record. NCBI's taxonomy places the organism in Eukaryota, Metazoa, Arthropoda, Malacostraca, Decapoda, Varunidae. The transcript is spliced from 2 exons.